Molecule: long non-coding RNA, 2041 nt
Organism: Poeciliopsis prolifica (blackstripe livebearer)
Lineage: Eukaryota; Metazoa; Chordata; Actinopteri; Cyprinodontiformes; Poeciliidae
Exons: 3
Source: RefSeq, a predicted model, not a curated record
UCGGUUCACUGAAGAAUCUAUGUUGCUAGCAGAGGUUGUUACAAAGUGUCUGGACACAAUAAAACCAUUUGUAUGAUUUAAAAAGAGUAACUAUUGUGCUUUCAUUCUAUGUACUUGGGCUUUUAAUAAUCUUUCUCACAGUCACAUCAGCAUGCAUGGGUGGGUCUCAUGUAUGGAUUCAGGCUGGUUUGGCUGGGACCCAUGCAAGAUUAUUAUUGUCGUUUUUUUCAAUAAAACUGCAUUGAAUCGUUUAGCUUUGGGCUAUAUAGGUAAUGAUAAGAGGGCAUGGGUUUUAUCUGGGCCAACUGCGUGAGGCUCAUAAGGUUAACCGAAAUGGGACUCAUAUUGUUGGCUCAAUUGGGUUAAAUGUAUGGGCCCAAUUCAGCAUUAACGUGGGCUAACUGGGCAUGGGACAGAAAUGGGAACACUAUAUGGGGCCCAUGUGGUUUCAGUAUAUUGGGCCUAAAAGGUUUUUUGUAAAUAGGAUGAAGGCAUUGUAGUUCAUAUUUUUAAAUUCUUUUUUUAAUUGUUGUGUGACACUUUAAAGCGUUUUGUUAUGUCAUAGUUUAUUUCAAUCUGCCGCUAUUGUGUUGGUCUAGAGUAGUCAUCAGUGUCAGGGUUCCUGUGUGUGUAUGUGAGUGUCGCAUCUUAUUUCAGCGAGGAUCUUUGUGAGGAGCCCGUGGAGCUUGGCACAGGUGGAGGAGCAGCAGAAUCUUCAGUCUACGCUAGAUUGACUGAAGAUUCUACUGGUGUAUGCUAGAUGGUUGCAUACACCGGUAGUCACUCUGGCCUCUCCUGUUGUGAACAGUUUUCUGAGAACGUUUCUGUGUCUACUAGAAGUCACCUGGUCUCUGUGUUUGUUCGAUCCUAGGGGUUUUGUCGCCUCAUUCGAGAACUCACCAGUGAAUACCUGCCUGCUCGCUCCGCCGAUUCCACUGCCUCCACUCCACCCUUCGAGCUUCCAGCUCUCUUCCAUUCCCACCUCGCAUUUACCUUCAGAACCGCUGCACACCCUCUCUCAGGAACCUGGCAUCUCACACCCACGCCUCGAAAGACCCGCACCGAAGUAAGCCUGUUCCUGUUUCCCCUCCGAUCACUCAUUCUAAGCCCGUCAUAACUAAGUUCUCGUUUCAGGCCAACCUGGUCGAGUGGUCCUCACCCUUCCGCUGAUGUCCGGGAAAUAGAUUUUAUUUUGUCCUGUUGUAAAUAAAUCACUCACUCAUCCCUAUCCAACGUGUGGUUACUGCAUGUGGGUCCGUAAAUUGAAACCCAUCAUGUCAAUCAGUGGCCAAGCCUGAAACAAAUAUUGAAAGAUGAAGAAAUUCUUUUUGAUAUUUUUGCAAUAUUUAGCUAGCAGUUAUGUGAAAUGUACUUAUAUUUAAUUGUAGCUCUAAUUUUUUUAUAUGUGCAAUGUUUUAGGCUUUAUUAGUUACAUUUAUAGUGAUUUUCUAAACUUCUCUUAAGAGUAAUACUACUGUCUUAGUCCUGUCACGUUAACAAAGAAAUUAGGAUAAUUGCAAAACUGUUCAGUGUUUACAAUAUAAGGCUUCAGUAGUUAAUCUAUACAAAGGCUGUUUUGCCUUAAUUUUUUUAUUUUUUUGAAAAGUCUAAAUGUUAUAUUGCACUAAUAAAAUAUAUAUUUUUGCAGGCUUCAAGAGGAUCAGCGUGUGAAGAUCACUUUAUAAUGAUUUGAAAAAGGUUGCCAUGGCUACAGAAAUUGGAGGAGCAUCCUUAGAUGACACAAUACAACCAGCUGUGCGAUUCCUCAUGUCCCAUGAACUGGAAGUCCAGUUCAACCUUUUUGGCCAACAUUGGAAACAAGCUCUUGGACCUGCGUCUCUUUGAUGUUUUGUAUGGGGACUUAAAAGAAAUUAUCCAUCUACAGAAUCACACAAGCAUACAGCAAAGACUCUCGAAGUGGUUUACUGGAGCCCGAGUGGAAGUGGAAAUAGACUAGAGAGACUGCCAGUUCAAACUCAGGUUGGGGAGGUCUUUCAAGAUGGACAGUUUCAGUAAAGUAUGAGAGAUUUCAAAUUUAAGC